RNAcentral lists this transfer RNA (92 nucleotides) under Thermoprotei archaeon. RNAcentral's name for it is "tRNA-Ser". It matches the Rfam family "tRNA". Rfam says of the family: Transfer RNA (tRNA) molecules are approximately 80 nucleotides in length. Their secondary structure includes four short double-helical elements and three loops (D, anti-codon, and T loops). RNAcentral also lists the same sequence under 1 other name. The record is from RNAcentral. Lineage: Archaea; Thermoproteati; Thermoproteota; Thermoprotei.
GCCGGGGUGCCCGAGCCAGGUCUAAGGGGUGGGACUCGAGAUCCCAUGGGGCGUUGCGCCCCGCGUGGGUUCAAAUCCCACCCCCGGCGCCA